RNAcentral lists this ribosomal RNA (1479 nucleotides) under uncultured Bordetella sp. RNAcentral's name for it is "partial 16S-23S ribosomal RNA intergenic spacer". It matches the Rfam family "Bacterial small subunit ribosomal RNA". The record is from RNAcentral. Lineage: Bacteria; Pseudomonadati; Pseudomonadota; Betaproteobacteria; Burkholderiales; Alcaligenaceae.
AGUUUGAUUAGCAAAGCUCAGAUUGAACGCUGGCAGGAUGCUUUACACAUGCAAGUCGAACGGCAGCGCGGACUUCGGUCUGGUGGCGAGUGGCGAACAGGUGAGUAAUGUAUCGGAACGUGCUAGUAGCGGGGGAUAACUACGCGAAAGCGUAAUAAUACCGCAUACGCCCUUCGGGGGAAAGCAGGGGGACCUUCGGGCCUCGCACUAUUAGAGCGGCCGAUAUCGGAUUAGCCUAGUUGGUGGGGUAACGGCUCGCAAGGCGACGAUCCGUAGCUGGUUUGAGAGGACGACCAGCCACACUGGGACUGAGACACGGCCCAGACUCCUACGGGAGGCAGCAGUGGGGAAUUUUGGACGUGGAAACCCUGGUCAGCCAUCCGCGUGUGCGAUGAAGGCCUUCGGGUUGUAAAACACUUUUUGGCAGGAAAGAAACGGCACAGGAUAAUACCCCGAUACAGCGAAGCAGUACCUGCAGAAUAAGCACCGGCUAACUACGUGCCAGCAGCCGCGGUAAUACGUAGGGUGCAAGCGUUAAUCAGGUCACUGGGCCUUCUAAAGCGUGCGCAGGCGGUUCGGAAGAAGAUGUGAAAUCCCAGAGCUUAACUUUGGGGCUUCAUUUUAACUACCGAGCUAGAAGGUGUCAGAGGUGGGAAUUCCGCGUGCUUACGGUGAAAUGCGUAGAUAUGCGGAAGACGCCAGUGGCGAAACAGCCUCCUGGGAUAACCACUGACGCUCAUGCACCGAAAGCGUUGGGAGCAAACAGGAUAGGCCUUUGGUAGUCACGCUAAACAUUGUCAACUAGCUGUUGGGGCCUUCGGGCCUUGGUAGCGCAGCUAACGCGUGAAGUUGACCGCCUGGGGAAUUACGGUCGCAAGAUUAAAACUCAAGAUUGACAGGGGACCCACACAAGCGGUGGAUGAUGUGGAUUAAUUCGAUGCAACGCGAAAAACCUUACCCUUGACAUGUCUGGAAUCCCGAAGAGAUUUGGGAGUGCUCGCAAGAGAACCGGAACACAGGUGCUGCAUGGCUGUCGUCAGCUCGUGUCAUUGAGAUGUUGGGUUAAAGUCCCGCAACGAGCGCAACCCUUGUCAUUAGUUGCUACGAAGGGCACUCUAAUGAGACUGCACCGGUGACAAACCGGAGGAAGGUGGGGAUGACGUCAAGUCCUCGGCCCUUAUGGGUAGGGCUUCACCACGUCAUACAAUGGUCAGGACAGAGGGUCGCCAACCCGCGAGGAGCCAAUCCCAGAAACUGAUCGUAGUCCGGAUCGCAGUCUGCAGCGCUCGACUGCGUGAAGUCGGAAUCGCUAGUAAUCGCGGAUCAGCAUGUCGCGGUGAAUACGUUCCCAGGUCUUGUACACACCGCCCGUCACACCAUGGGAGUGGGUUUUACCAGAAGUAGUUAGCCUAACCGUAAGGAGGGCGAUUACCACGGUAGGAUUUUCAUGACUACAGAGGUGAAGUCGUAACAAGGUAG